GAAAUGCGAUAAGUAGUGUGAAUUGCAGAAUUCUGUGAAUCAUCGAAUCUUUGAACGCACAUUGCGCCCUUUGGUAUUCCAAAGGGCAUGCCUGUUCGAGCGUCAUUUGAACCCUCAAGCAUUGCUUGGUGUUGGGCGUUUGUCCCCCCCGUUGGGGAGGACUCGCCUUAAAACGAUUGGCAGCCGGCACACUGGUAUUGAAGCGCAGCACAAAACGCGCUCCUGUCCUUGCGUGCCCGCGUCCAUGAAGCUCACCUAUUCACUUUUGACCUCGGAUCAGGUAGGGAUACCCGCUGAACUUAAGC
RNAcentral lists this unclassified non-coding RNA (305 nucleotides) under plant metagenome. Its description in RNAcentral is "partial contains 5.8S ribosomal RNA, internal transcribed spacer 2, and large subunit ribosomal RNA". The stretch from base 1 to 105 matches the Rfam family "5.8S ribosomal RNA", at positions 50 to 154 of the family's 154-position model. The record is from RNAcentral.